Molecule: ribosomal RNA, 287 nt
Filed under: uncultured bacterium
Lineage: Bacteria
Description: partial 16S ribosomal RNA
Rfam family: Bacterial small subunit ribosomal RNA
Source: RNAcentral
GGAUUAGAUACCCUGGUAGUCCACGCUGUAAACGAUGAUUACUCGCUAUUGGCGAUACACUGUCAGUGGCUAAGCGAAAGUGAUAAGUAAUCCACCUGGGGAGUACGCCCGCAAGGGUGAAACUCAAAGGAAUUGACGGGGGCCCGCACAAGCGGUGGAGCAUGUGGUUUAAUUCGAUGAUACGCGAGGAACCUUACCAGGGUUUAAAUGCAGAACGACAGGGGUGGAAACACCCCCUUCUUCGGACGGACUGCAAGGUGCUGCAUGGUUGUCGUCAGCUCGUGCCG